CGUGAGUGAAGAAGGCUUUCGGGUCGUAAAGCUCUGUCAAGUGGGAAAAAAGUCUGAUGAUUAAUAGUUGUCAGAUCUGAUGGUACCGCUGGAGGAAGCACCGGCUAACUCCGUGCCAGCAGCCGCGGUAAUACGGAGGGUGCAAGCGUUGUUCGGAAUUACUGGGCGUAAAGGGCGUGCAGGCGGGUUGGUAAGUCAGAUGUGAAAGCCCUGGGCUCAACCCAGGAAGUGCAUUUGAAACUGCCAUCCUUGAGUAUGGGAGAGGAGAGUGGAAUUCCCAAUGUAGAGGUGAAAUUCGUAGAUAUUGGGAGGAACACCCGUGGCGAAGGCGACUCUCUGGACCAAUACUGACGCUGAGACGCGAAAGCGUGGGGAGCAAACAGGAUUAGAUACCCUGGUAGUCCACGCUGUAAACGAUGAGAACUAGGUGUAGCGGGUAUUGACCCCUGCUGUGCCGAAGUUAACGCAUUAA
This 472-nucleotide ribosomal RNA is filed under the name uncultured delta proteobacterium. RNAcentral's name for it is "bacterial SSU rRNA". It matches the Rfam family "Bacterial small subunit ribosomal RNA", at positions 400 to 863 of the family's 1533-position model. Lineage: Bacteria; Deltaproteobacteria. The record is from RNAcentral.